AGCAGCCGCGGUAAUCCCAGCUCCAAUAGCGUAUAUUUAAGUUGUUGCAGUUAAAAAGCUCGUAGUUGGACCUUGGGGUUCUACCGUUGGUCGGGCUUUGUCUGUACUGGCGUGUAGAAUUUCUACCUUCUGGGGAACCAUCAUGUUAUUAAUUUAACGUGGUGGGAAACCAGGACCUUUACCUUGAAAAAAUUAGAGUGCUCCAGGCAGGCCUAUGCUCGAAUACAUUAGCAUGGAAUAAUAGAAUAGGACGUGUGGUUCUAUUUUGUUGGUUUCUAGGACCGCCGUAAUGAUUAAUAGGGACAGUCGGGGGCAUCAGUAUUCAAUUGUCAGAGGUGAAAUUCUUGGAUUUAU
This 354-nucleotide ribosomal RNA is filed under the name uncultured Racocetraceae. RNAcentral describes it as "bacterial SSU rRNA". It matches the Rfam family "Eukaryotic small subunit ribosomal RNA", at positions 569 to 929 of the family's 1831-position model. The record is from RNAcentral. Lineage: Eukaryota; Fungi; Glomeromycota; Glomeromycetes; Diversisporales; Gigasporaceae.